Molecule: long non-coding RNA, 1898 nt
Organism: Papaver somniferum (opium poppy)
Lineage: Eukaryota; Viridiplantae; Streptophyta; Magnoliopsida; Ranunculales; Papaveraceae
Exons: 2
Source: RefSeq, a predicted model, not a curated record
CUCUUCCAUCUUUGUUCUGCUUCCCUAUCUCUGUUCUUCACCAGCGGUUUCGUGGUGUUCUUUUAGCAAUAUGGAUAAUUUUAUCAACAUCAAUGAAACCAAAGAAGAAACAUAAACACAUCGAUCGCAUCAUCAGCUUUGUUAUUCAAGAAUUGGAAGCCGGAGUAAUCUGCAGAUGGGUUUAGGAUUCAGAUCGAGAGAAAAAAUGAGAAGCGUGAUUGUCUUGGGUUCAAGUUGUUUGAAUUAGAAAUUGGAGAGAAUAAGUGAUUUAAGAUGGUGGUUGAGCUUGUAGAAGACAUAAGCUAGAGUUUAAUCUGCAAAAGUUUAAUCUACAAAAUCCCUUCAGUUUUUCAUCUCCAUCUUAGUUCUUCUGAUUAACUGAUUCUUUUUUCUCUUUUCCCGUCCUCAAGAAAUCACCAGCUAAGACAAAGGGAGAUGAUGAUUGAGUUAUAGGGAUUUUGUACACUGAUCAAAGGGAAACCUUGGGUUUGUAUGAGUUGUUUUACAUGGAUAUGGUGUGAUGCUUGUCUGUUGCAGCUAAAGAAUUGGUGGUAUGGUUGUGUCAUAGGGAGAGUUGGACUGGGUAAAAUGGAAUUGAGAGGAGUAGACAUGACAGUGUGGGUUCUUGGCGGUGAUGUCGUGGGUUAGGUUCUGCUGAGGAAGUUGAUUGCAACUGAGUUGAAGUCAUGUAACAUACGUAUGAGCUGAAUAAAUGGAAUGGUAGUGUAUCGCUAAGAUUGAGAUGAUGUGCUUGUUCCAUAUUAGCAUUACAGGGAAGAAUAUUGCAGGGAACACAGAAUGGAUGUUGGAUCUGGUGGUUAAAGUUGUCAGAAGCUUGAAUCUAUGUUGGUGUUGCAGGUAGUUGUAAAGCUUAAAUAUAUUCGAGAAUACUUGAACCGGUAUUGUUUUGCUACUCCCAAUGCUAAAUGAAAAUGCUUAUGGAAAAGUUCGGGAAUUAUUUUGUGAACUGCAUCACAGUGGAUGAUGGAAUUGGGGUGUUGAAACUGUUGGCUUAAUCGACGGUCAUGGUGGGGUUCGUCCCUUGAUUGGAAUUUGUCAAACAGGUGAAUCUAUUCCGCAAUCUACAACUGUAGGUACUUUGAAGAAUUUGUUUGUAGUACCGGAAGUACGACAAACUUCAGCAAAUGAGGAGAUUGUUAAGGUUAUGAUUGAUCUUAUGGACUGUUGGAUGUUGUUAGGAUCCAAAGAGUAUGCAGCUGAAUGUCUUCAAGCUGCGGCAUCAACAAAUUGUAAGAUUUGUAGCUCACUUGAGAUGAAAAAAAUGUUGGAUGAUGCUGGUUGUAUUCCUUCGCUUGUGCAAAUGCUUGAAGAGAAAUUGGUGGUUUGAGAUGGUUUUAAGGUUGUGCUAUUGCAGAUCAGUGUUGUGCCGUGUAACUGAAAUUGGUGAUGUUGUUGAAAUAUUUUGAGUAGAGUUGAGCUUCAGAGGAUAUACCUAAUUGUUGCAGUAAAGCCUUGAUGGCCUGAGUAUACAGUGCCAUAUAUGCAGUAUUUGAUGACGGGUACAGAGUCAAAUCGUCGAGUCAGUUAUCAAUGGACGAUUCCAAGUACAAUUAGGUCUUUUUAGGUUCACUUAACGGGGCUUACUUUCCAUCUAUCUUUUUUAGUCAAAACUUUCCUAGUUUUUUAAAUUAUAAAAAAAACAGGCCUAGUUUUGUAAACUAUAAAAAUGACAGGCCUAUUUCUGUAAAAAGCCCAAAAAACUAAAAAGAAAAAACCAUAUAUGCUGAACAUUUUCUAGGACAUGUCAGUGUUAGACAUAUUUACUUUAACUGUCAAUUUGAAGCAUGGGAUGAUGGGAAACAAAUCGUCCUAGAUGAAAAAGAGAGAAAUAUGACAUGAAGUUGUUACAAGGUUUAGAGAUAAUAUAUUCUCUACCA